This is a long non-coding RNA of Rhea pennata, 507 nucleotides long. RefSeq lists it as uncharacterized. The transcript is spliced from 2 exons. Lineage: Eukaryota; Metazoa; Chordata; Aves; Rheiformes; Rheidae. The record is from RefSeq and is a predicted model, not a curated record.
AAUACAUAGGGCUGGGCAGGAGCAGGUCUUUCUCCUCUGCUCAGAAUGCGAACUACAAAAAGGCUCAACAGACCUUUUUGAUGAAAAGAGUUAUCUACUCUGCUACUGAGACUUCAUCUAUUGUUUCCAUGAUACCAGGAGGGUUUCCACAGCAGCGUUCCAGUAAGAAGACUACAACUCCUAGCAUGCGCUGCAGACAAAAAUGGCCUCACAAAAGCCCGGUACUGGAAGACUACACCUCCUACCAUGCACAGCAUAUGAAAAUAGGCUUCCGGAAACCCGGUGCCAGGAGACUACAGUUCCUGGCAUGUGCGGCAGGAUAAAAUGACUUCCUGGAAAGCCUGUACCGGAAGACUACAUCUACCAGCAUGCAGCGGAAAACAAUAUGGCCGACAGGAAGAUUAGAGCUCCCGGCAUCCGCAGCAGCCUAAAAUGGCCGAAUGGUCAGAUACUGGUGGACUAGUGCUCCCGGCAUAGAGCGAAAAAAAAAAAAAAUCCGGAACCUGG